RNAcentral lists this transfer RNA (71 nucleotides) under Stegodyphus mimosarum. It matches the Rfam family "tRNA". Rfam says of the family: Transfer RNA (tRNA) molecules are approximately 80 nucleotides in length. Their secondary structure includes four short double-helical elements and three loops (D, anti-codon, and T loops). Lineage: Eukaryota; Metazoa; Arthropoda; Arachnida; Araneae; Eresidae. The record is from Rfam by way of RNAcentral.
GCUUUCGUGAUGUAACGGUAGCACACUGGGCUCGGAUUCGAGAGGCCCAGGUUCGAGUUCUGGCAAUGGCA